This 314-nucleotide long non-coding RNA is filed under the name Capsicum annuum. RNAcentral's name for it is "long non-coding RNA (CANN_LNC017915)". Lineage: Eukaryota; Viridiplantae; Streptophyta; Magnoliopsida; Solanales; Solanaceae. The record is from RNAcentral.
UCAUGGCCAUUUAGGUCAUGACAAAGUUGGUAUCAGAGCUCUAGGUUCGUUGAUCUCGUCAUACAAAAACAUGUCUAGUAUAGUCUUGCGGAACGGUACAAAGACGUCUGUACUUUUCUUCGAGAGGCUAUAGGACACUAGAAAAAUUCAAAUUCUUCUUUCUUACAUGUUAUUACUUGAUUUCAAAUUGUAUCCGGCGAUACCAAUUGGUAUGUUACUUCUUUCAUUCUUAUUCUCGAAGAUGGGUGCGGUGGAGUGUGUCACAAUAGGAGGUUUUUUCUUAAUUUGAGGCAUUAUGGUUAUUUUAGCCAGCA